UGAGUAUACCGAAUAGUCGCAUGGAUAAAACCAUGAGGAAAGUCCGAGCUCCGUAGGGCGAGGGUGCUAGGUAACACCUAGUGGAGGCGACUCUAAGGAAAGUGCAACAGAGAUAUACCGCCUGUAAUUCAGGUAAGGGUGGAAAGGUGAGGUAAGAGCUUACCAGCAAUUGGGUGAUCAAUUGGCUAUGUAAACCCCAUCCGGAGCAAGACCAAGUAGGAUCAAGAAAGGGGGCUGCCCGUCCCUAUCCGUAGGUAGGUCGCUUGAGCCUGCUGGUGACAGCAGGCCUAGAUAGAUGGCUAUUCAAGACAGAACUCGGCUUACAGGUAUACUCAUUAA
RNAcentral lists this RNase P RNA (339 nucleotides) under Clostridia bacterium. RNAcentral describes it as "RNase P RNA component class A". It matches the Rfam family "Bacterial RNase P class A". Rfam says of the family: Ribonuclease P (RNase P) is a ubiquitous endoribonuclease, found in archaea, bacteria and eukarya as well as chloroplasts and mitochondria. Its best characterised activity is the generation of mature 5'-ends of tRNAs by cleaving the 5'-leader elements of precursor-tRNAs. RNAcentral also lists the same sequence under 1 other name. The record is from RNAcentral. Lineage: Bacteria; Bacillati; Bacillota; Clostridia.